This 478-nucleotide ribosomal RNA is filed under the name uncultured bacterium. Its description in RNAcentral is "partial 16S ribosomal RNA". It matches the Rfam family "Bacterial small subunit ribosomal RNA", at positions 28 to 507 of the family's 1533-position model. The record is from RNAcentral.
GACGAACGCUGGCGGCGUGCUUAACACAUGCAAGUCGAACGGGAUUUAGUAGACAGACGCCUCGGCUAAAGAUUACUAAUGAGAGUGGCGAACGGGUGAGUAACGCGUGAGCAACCUGCCUAUGACAGUGGGAUAGCCUCGGGAAACCGGGAUUAAUACCGCAUAAAAUCGUAGAAACACAUGUUUUAACGGUCAAAGAUUUAUCGGUCAUAGAUGGGCUCGCGUCUGAUUAGCUAGUUGGUGAGAUAACAGCCCACCAAGGCGACGAUCAGUAGCCGGUCUGAGAGGAUGAACGGCCACAUUGGAACUGAGACACGGUCCAAACUCCUACGGGAGGCAGCAGUGGGGAAUAUUGCACAAUGGGGGAAACCCUGAUGCAGCGACGCCGCGUGAACGAAGAAGGUAUUCGUAUCGUAAAGUUCUGCCCUAUGGGAAGAUAAUGACAGUACCAUAGAAGAAAGCUCCGGCUAAAUACGUG